This 380-nucleotide ribosomal RNA is filed under the name uncultured eukaryote. RNAcentral's name for it is "partial 18S ribosomal RNA". It matches the Rfam family "Eukaryotic small subunit ribosomal RNA", at positions 592 to 976 of the family's 1831-position model. The record is from RNAcentral.
CAAUAGCGUAUAUUAAAGUUGCUGCAGUUAAAAAGCUCGUAGUUGCAUUUCCGAGGCAAGGGAUUAGUCCGACCUUUGGUGGGUAUUUAAUCCUCCUGCCUCGUCCUUGAGUGGUGCUUCUUGGUAUUAAGUUAUCGAGGAGAUAGCCGCUCAUCGUUUACUGUGAGAAAAUUAGAGUGUUCAAAGCAGGCUUAUGCCGUUGAAUAUAUUAGCAUGGAAUAAUAAGAUAGGACCUCGGUACUAUUUUGUUGGUUUGAGAACCAAGGUAAUGAUGAAUAGGGACAGUUGGGGGUAUUCGUAUUCAGUUGUCAGAGGUGAAAUUCUUAGAUUUACGGAAGACGAACUACUGCGAAAGCAUUUACCAAGGAUGUUUUCAUUAA